RNAcentral lists this ribosomal RNA (253 nucleotides) under uncultured bacterium. RNAcentral's name for it is "partial 16S ribosomal RNA". It matches the Rfam family "Bacterial small subunit ribosomal RNA", at positions 524 to 776 of the family's 1533-position model. The record is from RNAcentral.
UACGUAGGGUGCGAGCGUUGUUCGGAAUUACUGGGCGUAAAGGGCGCGUAGGCGGCCUGCUAAGUCGGACGUGAAAUCCCUCGGCUCAACCGGGGAACUGCGUCCGAUACUGGUGGGCUCGAAUCCGGGAGAGGGAUGUGGAAUUCCAGGUGUAGCGGUGAAAUGCGUAGAUAUCUGGAGGAACACCGGUGGCGAAGGCGGCAUCCUGGACCGGUAUUGACGCUGAUGCGCGAAAGCCAGGGGAGCAAACGGG